AGAGAAAAAAGGUGGAAAAAACUUAAAGCCCACUAGAGAACAGAGCUGGUGGAAAAUAAUACACAAAAACAUCAGCCUGAGAAGAGGAUUAACUAAUAAGGGGUUGUGAAGAACCUCUAUGAACAUUCAAAGGUUGGAGUUUUGAACAUUUGUUUAGUACUUCAGCAUGUCUGUGUGAAGUCCUUUGCUUGGGGAUUGUUGUUAUCAUGAGUCAAGCCACCAUCUGCACUGAUAUAGAGUAGUCUUGAGAUGGGUUCACCCUCUCUCUUUUGAUACCAAUGGAUAUAAUUCGAAGAUUCCAAACCAGUCACUUUGCAGGUGAGAUAGGAGGUUUUGCUCUCAUAUUUAACCAAAGUCUUUUGACCUUGUUCUACAGUCACACCCAGGACAACUGCUUUGAUGAAAUAAAUAGAAAUGUCAAUUCUUCAAAAUCAGAUUUAUAAUGUUUAAUAGCCAUAUUUUUGUAAAUACUGACCUGAAAUCUCUGAGAAGAGGAGAAUAUAAAUGUAUACAAACAUCAUUCAUCUGGUCUGAAAAAUAAGUUUAUGCUUGGUGUAUUGCUCUCUUUUAGAUUUUUACUUUGCCUUUGUAUGAACUUCAAAUAUAGUUAGCUGAUGUCAUUUCCUGUGCUCAAGAAGGCUGACACAAGAAACAUGUGACACAUACCAAUCGAAUAACAGAACUGGUAGUCAAAGACAGAAAAAAAAGCUCAGGUUUUCUACAGGACACUGUUUGCAGUCUAUGGGGCUAGCUGACUAGUUUCUGUCUAAUUGCAUGUCUAUGUUCAAACUUUUAAGUCACACAUUUUUCAGACAAAUAGUCAAGUUUCUUUCAACUAACCUCUACUAGACAUGGUGCACUGUGAUCAGAAUUGGUGAAAACCUUCAUAGAUAUGUUACUGUAAUAACAUCACUAGAUACAGUGGCCCAAAAACAUAUUUAGACAGUUGCCACACAUGCAAUUUCUGAAUGUCAUUGCAUUAUACAACUAAAUAUUAAGUGGCAUAUGCAAACAAAUGUUGCUAAAUAUUUCUCAGAACUUCACUUAUAUGAGCCAUUUUUGCAAUGACUUUCAGCCAAUUGAUGUCAAUGUUCUUAGUGUAUAAAGUCAAGUUCCCUUCAAGUUCACAACAUAACAGAGUAACCACAUAUGCUGUUCAUCACAUUAACCAUGGACAUGUUCAACUAACAUUUGACAAGCAGAAAGUGUCCAAAUACUUUGGCUCAUGUACUGUCAUACUAUGUACGGCAUUUGAUAAAGAACGCACUUCUCGGCCGUUAAAAAAAAGGAUGUUCUUUAGGUAUGCAGAUGAUUAGUGUAAAUACAUUCUGGACAUACUUCAUCUGAGAACGUGGACAUUUUUUUGGCAUAUUAUAUAGCAGGAAUGUAUAUCCAAAUGCAGCCAUUAGCCCCGUUCACACAUGCAACUAGAUACAUUAAUGAAAAACCGUUGGGUUGCCUUUACUGGUAAAUGUACCCAGUGGCGAUUUUAGGGGGUGGCCUCUCAUUGGCCACCCUGUGGCCACCCCAGAACUGAUUGGUAGUUCAUCAUGUUCAUCAACACAAGAACGAAGAACCAAUAGAAACACCUGUCAAUCAAAGAUGACAUCUCAGGUCAUUUGUUGAUUUAGAGCCACACUGACCCAGGGUCAGUUUUAUAAUUCUGACUAUUAUAGUAGUGGUGGGACUGAAGCUGUGUGAGCUGAUCUUUGAUCAGUGGGGGGAGGGGCAGGCCGCAGGUGGCCAGGCAGGUCUGGAGUAUAAUGGUCAGUCAGAAGCACGAAGCUGACACGAGCUAGCGUCUACCUCCAACGAGUUGACGACGUCGAUUUGUGGUCAAAAAGAAAGCAGUUAUCUGAGAGAUUUAAUGGACUCAAAGCCAGGAUCAUAUUUUGUGGAUCCAUCGUUUAUGUCAACAUACAGAAUUCUUUUCAAGGUUUCUCCCUCUUUUUGUUGAUACCAGAAGAUGUAAUCCCAGCAGUCUGAAGGGAAAAGGCAAUCUAUGAUGGCUAUUUUUUCCACUGAUUUGGUCAGUGAGAGUUUCUGUUGUAGCUCUCCAUCUUAUCCACUGCAAAAAAUACAUUUCAUAGAGAUAACGUCAUAGAAUAUUAGGUUACAUUAAUAAUAUUUUUUUAUGAUAACAGAACAAAUAAUAUGACACAUAUUUAAAGACUUACCUCUGCAUAUCAGCUGAAUAAACAGUAAAAAUGGUGAAUUCAGAUGAACACUCAUAGUGGCAGAGAGAUUCUAGAGAGGUUCUGACUUUUCUCUUGAAUGAGGGUGGAACUGGUUUCAAUGAGGAACUAACAGGAAAUUGUGUUUAAAAAGCGGUAACCUGCAAUUGUUACUUAACCCCUGAAAUCAGUUUACUUAAUGUAACCUUAUGUAGUCUAAUGUGAUUCAGACAUGUCAAAUAAUAUUUUGUUUUGUGUCAAAGCAAAUGUAAUUUAGAUGUUACCACAUGAAGCACAUUUUUAGAUUAACAUAAGUUAAAGAAGAGCCAUAAAAUAUAGUUCCUUUCCAUCAAUUAGACUGCAGUAAUAUGUAUUAUUAUUCUAUUAUUGUAGUUUUUAUAUUGUGUAUUUGUUAGUAUUGAGAGGGCCUGCAAAUAUUUUUAAGGUAUUUCCACUAUACAUUUCAUGUUCAUAAACCAAACAUUAUUGUUUCCUUUGCUGUUGAAAAACUUUGUUGACUCUUUGUUUGAAUUCUAUUUUUUGCUAUCUGAAAGCAUAUUUGCUGCACCAAACUGCUCUAUUUGGUGAGUGCUCUCAUUAGAGUCAAUACUGUAAUAAAUGUGGUUUAUAACAGCUCGAUUUUGGUUUUGACUUUGUAAUUUCCUGUUGUGGAAUAAAAGUCUCUUUCUAUUUUAAUGUGAAAUAUUUUUCUCACUGUGGCUUUCCAGCACGCACAGUAAUACACGCCAGAAUGUUCCUUCUUUAUUUUUGUACGUUUUAUAUCAUAUGAAUUGUUUCUCAGUGAUCAAAUCUUUUGCUUCGCUUGUGGCACUGUCAGAUGCACUGAUGUAGAGUAGUCUUUUAAAUGUUUCACCAUCUUUCUUUUGGUAUCAGUGGACAUAAUCAUCAGAGCCCAAUCAGUUACUUCACAUUUCAAGUUCACUGUUUUUCCAGGUUGCUUCACCCAGACCUUCUGAGGUUGGUUUAAUGUCAAAAAUUCCACACCUGUGAUUCAAUAAAGUGGAAAUUAAUCAUUUCAAGUAAGCAGUCACAUUCAUGUCUACUCCCCCUUUACUUUUGAAGUGUACUUACCAUGGAUCAUUAAGAGGACAACAGUGUACAUGUUCAUGAGCAUCUUUCAUUUGG
Long non-coding RNA from Myxocyprinus asiaticus (Chinese sucker), 3320 nucleotides. RefSeq lists it as uncharacterized. The record is from RefSeq and is a predicted model, not a curated record. The transcript is spliced from 4 exons. NCBI's taxonomy places the organism in Eukaryota, Metazoa, Chordata, Actinopteri, Cypriniformes, Catostomidae.